Molecule: long non-coding RNA, 527 nt
Filed under: Bos indicus x Bos taurus (hybrid cattle)
Lineage: Eukaryota; Metazoa; Chordata; Mammalia; Artiodactyla; Bovidae
Description: lncRNA (ENSBIXG00000009221.1)
Source: RNAcentral
GGCUUUCAAACGCUGAUGGAUGGUAAUGGAUGGUAAUAAGUACCCCAGCCUCCUUGCCCUUGGGUGGACCAAUCCAGAGGCUCUUAUCAGGACCAGCCUGAUUCAUUUCAGGUGUACGCAGUCCCUCCCUUCCGUCUCUCUCUUUCACUCCGCCAUCUUCCCGCUGGUGAUGUCUUGGGCAAAGCUGAGCAGCUUUUUUGGAAAGAUAAUCUGCCUGAGCGGAAGCCGGCGUCAUUUGAAACAAAUCCCUGAAGUCACUGACUGUGAGUUGCUGAAGAAAUCAGACGUGCUUACCACAUGACAUGCAGUGUGAUUCUUCACCAUAAAUUGUAAGGCUUGGACAGACUGACUUAUUGUUCCCUUGUCAUCGUGGGAUUUGUGCUAUUUUUUUGGCAAGUUUUUUUUUUUUUUUUUUUCUUCCCAGCCUUAGUUUGUUUCAGUUAAAAAGCAGACUUGAAAUAUUAGCAAGAGGACAAAUCUGUAGUCUGUUUUCCUUCCUUAUUUGAUUUGUGGAAGUUGAGACUCAG